RNAcentral lists this transfer RNA (88 nucleotides) under Candidatus Raymondbacteria bacterium RifOxyA12_full_50_37. RNAcentral's name for it is "tRNA-Ser". It matches the Rfam family "tRNA". From Rfam's summary of the family: Transfer RNA (tRNA) molecules are approximately 80 nucleotides in length. Their secondary structure includes four short double-helical elements and three loops (D, anti-codon, and T loops). Further hydrogen bonds mediate the characteristic L-shaped molecular structure. tRNAs have two regions of fundamental functional importance: the anti-codon, which is responsible for specific mRNA codon recognition, and the 3' end, to which the tRNAs corresponding amino acid is attached (by aminoacyl-tRNA synthetases). tRNAs cope with the degeneracy of the genetic code in two manners: having more than one tRNA (with a specific anti-codon) for a particular amino acid; and 'wobble' base-pairing, i.e. permitting non-standard base-pairing at the 3rd anti-codon position. RNAcentral also lists the same sequence under 6 other names. The record is from RNAcentral. Lineage: Bacteria; Candidatus Raymondiibacteriota.
GGAGAGGUCGCAUAGUUGGCCUAGUGCGCUGGUUUGCUAAAUCAGUGUGGGGUUACACCCACCGAGGGUUCGAAUCCCUCCCUCUCCG